This 447-nucleotide ribosomal RNA is filed under the name uncultured bacterium. Its description in RNAcentral is "bacterial SSU rRNA". It matches the Rfam family "Bacterial small subunit ribosomal RNA", at positions 330 to 792 of the family's 1533-position model. The record is from RNAcentral.
CCCAGACUCCUACGGGAGGCAGCAGUGGGGAAUAUUGGGCAAUGGACGCAAGUCUGACCCAGCAACGCCGCGUGAAGGAAGAAGGCUUUCGGGUUGUAAACUUCUUUUAAGGGGGAAGAGCAGAAGACGGUACCCCUUGAAUAAGCCACGGCUAACUACGUGCCAGCAGCCGCGGUAAUACGUAGGUGGCAAGCGUUGUCCGGAUUUACUGGGUGUAAAGGGCGUGCAGCCGGAGAGACAAGUCAGAUGUGAAAUCCACGGGCUCAACCCGUGAACUGCAUUUGAAACUGUUUCCCUUGAGUGUCGGAGAGGUAAUCGGAAUUCCUUGUGUAGCGGUGAAAUGCGUAGAUAUCUGGAGGAACAUCAGUGGCGAAGGCGACUAUCUGGCACAUAACUGACGCUGAGGAGCGAAAGCGUGGGUAGCAAACAGGAUUAGAUACCCCAGUA